RNAcentral lists this long non-coding RNA (306 nucleotides) under Androctonus crassicauda. Lineage: Eukaryota; Metazoa; Arthropoda; Arachnida; Scorpiones; Buthidae. The record is from RNAcentral.
UCCAAUGCAUCUUCGUGUUCUCGGAUUUUGUCAUCCCACUUGGUGGUGUGGGUAUGGAUGCGGGUGAUCGUAGAGCGAAGGGAUGCUGACUUGUAUCUGAAGGGAUCUUUCGACCGCGCCGGUAUUGUCGCGGGGGUGUGCGUAGGCUUCUUGUGGGCCUUAGUAAUAUAUUCACCAUUUUCUGUAUGGACCCAUAGAUCUGAAAAAUGGAAGGCUAGCAUAGAACUCUGUUCUAGUUUGAGUUUAAGGACCAUGGUGUCAUCCGUCAAAUCUUGUAGUAGUUUUCUUUCAUCUUGUAUAUUCUGG